GAUGAACGCUGGCGGCGUGCCUAAUACAUGCAAGUCGAGCGAACGGACGAGAAGCUUGCUUCUCUGAUGUUAGCGGCGGACGGGUGAGUAACACGUGGAUAACCUACCUAUAAGACUGGGAUAACUUCGGGAAACCGGAGCUAAUACCGGAUAAUAUUUUGAACCGCAUGGUUCAAAAGUGAAAGACGGUCUUGCUGUCACUUAUAGAUGGAUCCGCGCUGCAUUAGCUAGUUGGUAAGGUAACGGCUUACCAAGGCAACGAUGCAUAGCCGACCUGAGAGGGUGAUCGGCCACACUGGAACUGAGACACGGUCCAGACUCCUACGGGAGGCAGCAGUAGGGAAUCUUCCGCAAUGGGCGAAAGCCUGACGGAGCAACGCCGCGUGAGUGAUGAAGGUCUUCCGAUCGUAAAACUCUGUUAUUAGGGAAGAACAUAUGUGUAAGUAACUGUGCACAUCUUGACGGUACCUAAUCAGAAAGCCACGGCUAACUACGUGCCAGCAGCCGCGGUAAUACGUAAGUGGCAAGCGUUAUCCGGAAUUAUUGGGCGUAAGCGCGCGUAGGCGGUUUUUUAGUCUGAUGUGAAAGCCCACGGCUCAACCGUGGAGGGUCAUUAGAAACUGGAAAACUUGAGUGCAGAAGAGGAAAGUGGAAUUCCAUGUGUAGCGGUGAAAUGCGCAGAGAUAUGGAGGAACACCAGUGGCGAAGGCGACUUUCUGGUCUGUAACUGACGCUGAUGUGCGAAAGCGUGGGGAUCAAACAGGAUUAGAUACCCUGGUAGUCCACGCCGUAAACGAUGAGUGCUAAGUGUUAGGGGGUUUCCGCCCCUUAGUGCUGCAGCUAACGCAUUAAGCACUCCGCCUGGGGAGUACGACCGCAAGGUUGAAACUCAAAGGAAUUGACGGGGACCCGCACAAGCGGUGGAGCAUGUGGUUUAAUUCGAAGCAACGCGAAGAACCUUACCAAAUCUUGACAUCCUUUGACAACUCUAGAGAUAGAGCCUUCCCCUUCGGGGGACAAAGUGACAGGUGGUGCAUGGUUGUCGUCAGCUCGUGUCGUGAGAUGUUGGGUUAAGUCCCGCAACGAGCGCAACCCUUAAGCUUAGUUGCCAUCAUUAAGUUGGGCACUCUAAGUUGACUGCCGGUGACAAACCGGAGGAAGGUGGGGAUGACGUCAAAUCAUCAUGCCCCUUAUGAUUUGGGCUACACACGUGCUACAAUGGACAGUACAAAGGGCAGCGAAACCGCGAGGUCAAGCAAAUCCCAUAAAGUUGUUCUCAGUUCGGAUUGUAGUCUGCAACUCGACUACAUGAAGCUGGAAUCGCUAGUAACCGUAGAUCAGCAUGCCACGGUGAAUACGUUCCCGGGUCU
RNAcentral lists this ribosomal RNA (1370 nucleotides) under uncultured bacterium. RNAcentral describes it as "bacterial SSU rRNA". It matches the Rfam family "Bacterial small subunit ribosomal RNA", at positions 28 to 1381 of the family's 1533-position model. The record is from RNAcentral.